CCUAAUACAUGCAAGUCGAGCGAACGGACAGGAGUGCUUGCACUCCUUGAAGUUAGCGGCGGACGGGUGAGUAACACGUGGGUAACCUACCUAUAAGACUGGGAUAACUUCGGGAAACCGGAGCUAAUACCGGAUAAUAUAUACCUCCGCAUGGAGGAAUAGUCAAAGACGGUUCUGCUGUCACUUAUAGAUGGACCCGCGGUGUAUUAGCUAGUUGGUGAGGUAACGGCUCACCAAGGCAACGAUACAUAGCCGACCUGAGAGGGUGAUCGGCCACACUGGGACUGAGACACGGCCCAGACUCCUACGGGAGGCAGCAGUAGGGAAUCUUCCGCAAUGGACGAAAGUCUGACGGAGCAACGCCGCGUGAGUGAAGAAGGUUUUCGGAUCGUAAAACUCUGUUGUAAGG
This 409-nucleotide ribosomal RNA is filed under the name uncultured Macrococcus sp. RNAcentral describes it as "bacterial SSU rRNA". It matches the Rfam family "Bacterial small subunit ribosomal RNA", at positions 47 to 443 of the family's 1533-position model. The record is from RNAcentral. Lineage: Bacteria; Bacillati; Bacillota; Bacilli; Caryophanales; Staphylococcaceae.